Molecule: long non-coding RNA, 1064 nt
Organism: Carya illinoinensis
Lineage: Eukaryota; Viridiplantae; Streptophyta; Magnoliopsida; Fagales; Juglandaceae
Exons: 3
Source: RefSeq, a predicted model, not a curated record
CAAACUUGAGCGCCAACUUCAAUUUUUGUCAAAUAUUUAGGGAAAACUUGAAUUUCCCUCUCACUGCUAAUUAACCAACCCGCUGCAACUCGUCCACCCUCCCAACCAACGUAAAACCACGGAAACAACCCACCUCAAAUAUUCGUACACCCACACAUCUAAUUUCCGUCAAAACAAAAACUAAGUUGGCGCCUUUAGCUCACCUCAAAUUUUCAUAAAAUUUAAAUUUCCCUCCCUAGUGUAUACGGCAUUACACGCUGCAAACAUUCCUCUUGAUCUUAUUUCUUCCUUUUGCAUCUAGGUUUCAAAGUAUCAGCCUAGGAGUUACCAGCACCACACACGCCUUCUCCUGGUCUCCACACCGUUCGAAACCAACCUCCAUCUAUGAUGCUCUGUUUUGCUGCCCAAAAACAGAGUUUUUUGACUGAAAACGCACUGCCCUGAAGCCACUAGCCCGCUGGUUGCUGCUACUGCAAACGACGCCUUUGACGACAGUAGAAUAUGAUGCUCAUGCAACUUGAUGGGGGGAAGAUGAAGUGGCAUGGGUAGGUACGUACGUACGUAUGUGCUUGCCUAAUCAAUCUCACUUGCGAGUUGCACCUUCUUUCAAUUUUUGAAUCUGAUCAAUUUGAAUGCAUGGCCAAGAAUGCACUCACUUUGUCCAGCUGUGUGGUCAAAGCAUAGACAAGGGAUUGAAAAAAAUGUAAAAUGAAGAUUACAUAACUCGUUGUGUAGUUAUCAAGUAACAUGGAGGCUCAACAAUUGCACCACAAUUUCAAAGAACUAUUGGAUAAAUGUGAAGAACUACCUAUGAAAUAAAUGCUCCUAAAGCUAAUGACAAACAAAACGUGAAGAAGAAGAAUUAUCCAUGGGGAACUUUUAUGUGUUUUGAUUUGUAAUUUUUUUAUUAUAUGAAUAGUGGCCCAUUAUAUCAUAUUUAUUAUUAAUUAAUAUAUUAUAUAUUUUUUAUUGUGGGAUAUCAUAUUAUUGGUAUGUCCUAAAUUUUGUUAAUUAAUGCAAAGCACUGGUAAUAUAUUUGUAGUGGUGUUUAUAUUAAUGUCAUU